This 126-nucleotide microRNA precursor is filed under the name Myotis lucifugus (little brown bat). RNAcentral describes it as "mir-9193 microRNA precursor family". It matches the Rfam family "mir-9193 microRNA precursor family". Lineage: Eukaryota; Metazoa; Chordata; Mammalia; Chiroptera; Vespertilionidae. The record is from Rfam by way of RNAcentral.
CGUGCACCGGUGGGGUCCCUCAGCCUGGCCUGUGUGGUCUCGCAAUCCAGAACCCCUUGGGGGAUGUCGGAGAGCCAGUUUCAGCCAGAUCCUGCAGGCCAGGCUGAGGGACUCCAGUGGUGCAAA